CAGUAGCCGCGGUAAUACGGAGGAUCCAAGCGUUAUCCGGAAUCAUUGGGUUUAAAGGAUCCGUAGGCGGUCUUGUAAGUCAGUGGUGAAAGCCCAUCGCUCAACGGUGGAACGGCCAUUGAUACUGCAGGACUUGAAUUAUUGGGAAGUAACUAGAAUAUGUAGUGUAGCGGUGAAAUGCUUAGAGAUUACAUGGAAUACCAAUUGCGAAGGCAGGUUACUACCAAUUGAUUGACGCUGAUGGACGAAAGCGUGGGUAGCGAACAGGAUUAGAGACCCCAGUAGUCCCUGUCUCUUAUAA
RNAcentral lists this ribosomal RNA (301 nucleotides) under uncultured bacterium. RNAcentral describes it as "partial 16S ribosomal RNA". It matches the Rfam family "Bacterial small subunit ribosomal RNA", at positions 509 to 809 of the family's 1533-position model. The record is from RNAcentral.